CGCACGGGUGAGUAACACGUGACUUAUCUACCCUCGAGUGGGGAAUAACUUCGGGAAACCGAGGCUAAUACCGCAUAAUACCCACGGGUCAAAGGAGCAAUUCGCUUGAGGAGGAGGUCGCGGCCGAUUAGUUAGUUGGCGGGGUAAUGGCCCCACCCAAGACGGUGAUCGGUAUCCGGCCUGAGAGGGCGCACGGACACACUGGAACUGAAACACGGUCCAGACUCCUACGGGAGGCAGCAGUGGGGAAUUUUGCGCAAUGGGGGAAACCCUGACGCAGCAACGCCGCGUGGAGGAUGAAGUCUCUUGGGACGUAAACUCCUUUCGAUCGGGACGAUUAUGACGGUACCGGAAGAAGAAGCCCCGGCUAACUUCGUG
Molecule: ribosomal RNA, 378 nt
Filed under: uncultured bacterium
Lineage: Bacteria
Description: bacterial SSU rRNA
Rfam family: Bacterial small subunit ribosomal RNA
Source: RNAcentral